UGGUCAAGUUAUUAAGGGUGCAGGGUGGAUGCCUUGGCACUAGGAGCCGAUGAAGGACGUGAUAAGCUGCGAUAAGCUUCGGGGAGUUGCACGUAAACUUUGAUCCGAAGAUUUCCGAAUGAGGAAACUCACUUAGAGUAAUGUCUAAGUAUCAUUAAGUGAAUACAUAGCUUAA
Molecule: ribosomal RNA, 175 nt
Filed under: Clostridioides difficile
Lineage: Bacteria; Bacillati; Bacillota; Clostridia; Peptostreptococcales; Peptostreptococcaceae
Description: partial 23S ribosomal RNA
Rfam family: Bacterial large subunit ribosomal RNA
Source: RNAcentral